Rhinolophus ferrumequinum (greater horseshoe bat) is the source of this 135-nucleotide small nuclear RNA. Its record names the gene U4. It matches the Rfam family "U4 spliceosomal RNA". Rfam says of the family: U4 small nuclear RNA (U4 snRNA) is a component of the major U2-dependent spliceosome. The structure of U4 snRNA from yeast and human has been reported. The record is from Ensembl. Lineage: Eukaryota; Metazoa; Chordata; Mammalia; Chiroptera; Rhinolophidae.
AGCUUGGCUCAGUGGCAAUAUCGUAGCCAAUGAGGUUUAUCCGAGGCGCGAUUAUUGCUAAUUGAAAAGAAUAGAAAUAUAAAAUUUUAAUGGGCCUAAGACUUAUAAAGGUUAAUAAUCUCAUUUCACUUGAAA